RNAcentral lists this ribosomal RNA (465 nucleotides) under Vreelandella stevensii. Its description in RNAcentral is "partial 16S ribosomal RNA". It matches the Rfam family "Bacterial small subunit ribosomal RNA", at positions 338 to 795 of the family's 1533-position model. Lineage: Bacteria; Pseudomonadati; Pseudomonadota; Gammaproteobacteria; Oceanospirillales; Halomonadaceae. The record is from RNAcentral.
CCUACGGGCGGCAGCAGUGGGGAAUAUUGGACAAUGGGCGAAAGCCUGAUCCAGCCAUGCCGCGUGUGUGAAGAAGGCCUUCGGGUUGUAAAGCACUUUCAGUGGGGAAGAAAGCCUUGGGGCUAAUACCCUCGAGGAAGGACAUCACCCACAGAAGAAGCACCGGCUAACUCCGUGCCAGCAGCCGCGGUAAUACGGAGGGUGCGAGCGUUAAUCGGAAUUACUGGGCGUAAAGCGCGCGUAGGCGGUCUGAUAAGCCGGUUGUGAAAGCCCCGGGCUCAACCUGGGAACGGCAUCCGGAACUGUCAGGCUAGAGUGCAGGAGGGGAAGGUAGAAUUCCCGGUGUAGCGGUGAAAUGCGUAGAGAUCGGGAGGAAUACCAGUGGCGAAGGCGGCCUUCUGGACUGACACUGACGCUGAGGUGCGAAAGCGUGGGUAGCAAACAGGAUUAGAUAUCCGGGUAGUC